This 490-nucleotide ribosomal RNA is filed under the name uncultured bacterium. Its description in RNAcentral is "partial 16S ribosomal RNA". It matches the Rfam family "Bacterial small subunit ribosomal RNA", at positions 30 to 507 of the family's 1533-position model. The record is from RNAcentral.
AUUGAACGCUGGCGGCAGGCCUAACACAUGCAAGUCGAACGGUAACAGGAAGAAGCUUGCUUCUUUGCUGACGAGUGGCGGACGGGUGAGUAAUGUCUGGGAAACUGCCUGAUGGAGGGGGAUAACUACUGGAAACGGUAGCUAAUACCGCAUAACGUCGCAAGACCAAAGAGGGGGACCUUCGGGCCUCUUGCCAUCGGAUGUGCCCAGAUGGGAUUAGCUAGUAGGUGGGGUAACGGCUCCCCUAGGCGACGAUCCCUAGCUGGUCUGAGAGGAUGACCAGCCACACUGGAACUGGGACACGGUCCAGACUCCGACGGGAGGCAGCAGUGGGGAAUAUUGCACAAUGGGCGCAAGCCUGAUGCAGCCAUGCCGCGUGUAUGAAGAAGGCCUUCGGGUUGUAAAGUACUUUCAGCGGGGAGGAAGGGAGUAAAGUUAAUACCUUUGCUCAUUGACGUUACCCGCAGAAGAAGCACCGGCUAACUCCGUG